This 1424-nucleotide ribosomal RNA is filed under the name Tlalocohyla picta (painted treefrog). Its description in RNAcentral is "partial 16S ribosomal RNA". It matches the Rfam family "Bacterial large subunit ribosomal RNA", at positions 378 to 2597 of the family's 2925-position model. The record is from RNAcentral. Lineage: Eukaryota; Metazoa; Chordata; Amphibia; Anura; Hylidae.
GCCAAAAACUUAGCCCAAUACUACCCUAUGAAAAUAAGAAUUUUUUUACUUUAAAUUAAAACAUUCUAUUACUUUAGUAAAGGCGAUUAAAAAAUUAAUAAGAGCUACAUAAACAGUACCGCAAGGGAAAAGUGAAAUAGAAAUGAAACAAGCACCAAGCACAAAAAAGUAGAGAUUACCCCUCGUACCUUUUGCAUCAUGGUUUGACUAGUCAAAUUAAGCAAAACGAAUUUUAGUUUAACCCCCCGAAACCAAGCGAGCUACUUCAGGGCAGCUUACUGAGCUAACCCGUCUCUGUUGCAAAAGAGUGGGAAGACCCUUAAGUAGAGGUGACAGACCUAACGAGCCUGGUGAUAGCUGGUUACUCGAGAAAAGGAUUUUAGUCCAGCUUAAAGUUCUAUAAAUAACUGAAAAUAAACUAUUAACUUUAAAGUAAUUCAAAUAAGGUACAGCCUAUUUGAAACAGGAUACAACCUAAAAAAUGGGUAAUAGACCACAACAUUAAUCAAGUAGGCCUAAAAGCAGCCACCUUUUAAACAGCGUCAAAGCUUCAUUACUUCCUUACCUAAUACCUAAAAUACUCUUUAACCCCCCUAAACUAUCGAGUACUUCUAUAAAUAUAUAUAGAAAAUUUUAUGUCAAAACUAGUAACAAGAAUAUGAAUUUCACUAAAUGCAAAUGUAAGUCAGAAAGGACACUCCACUGACAAUUAACACCUAUGCACACCAAUUAACAACCCCACAAGAAAAACUUAAUAUAUUCAAUGUUAACCUAACACAAGAGCAUUACAAGUCAGAUUUAAAGAAAAAGAAGGAACUCGGCAAAUCUUAACCCCGCCUGUUUACCAAAAACAUCGCCUCUUGAUUAAUUAUAAGAGGUCCAGCCUGCCCAGUGACUCUGUUCAACGGCCGCGGUAUCCUAACCGUGCGAAGGUAGCGUAAUCACUUGUUCUUUAAAUGAGGACUAGUAUGAAUGGCACCACGAAGGUUAUACUGUCUCCUUUUUCUAAUCAGUGAAACUAAUCCCCCCGUGAAGAAGCGGGGAUAAUACUAUAAGACGAGAAGACCCUAUGGAGCUUUAAACCUAAUAACACCGGCUUUCAAACUUUAUCUCUCCAGAGUCGCUAGAACACAACACAGCCCCAUGAUUAUUAGUUUUAGGUUGGGGUGACCGCGGAGUAAAAAAUAACCUCCACAUUGCAUGGAAUAAUAUUCCUGAACCAAGAGUAACAGCUCUACGCACCAAAAAACUGACAUCAAAUGACCCAAUUUAUUGAUCAACGAACCAAGUUACCCUAGGGAUAACAGCGCAAUCCGUCUCAAGAGCUCCUAUCGCCAGGCGGGUUUACGACCUCGAUGUUGGAUCAGGGUAUCCCAGUGGUGCAGCCGCUACUAAAGGUUCGUUUGUUCAACGAUUAAAACCCU